RNAcentral lists this ribosomal RNA (471 nucleotides) under uncultured bacterium. RNAcentral's name for it is "bacterial SSU rRNA". It matches the Rfam family "Bacterial small subunit ribosomal RNA", at positions 333 to 793 of the family's 1533-position model. The record is from RNAcentral.
GUACUCCUACGGGGAGGCAGCAGUGGGGAAUAUUGCACAAUGGGGGAAACCCUGAUGCAGCCAUGCCGCGUGUGUGAAGAAGGCCUUCGGGGUUGUAAAGCACUUUCAGUAGGGAGGAAGGUAGUGUAGUUAACACCUGCACUAUUUGACGUUACCUACAGAAGAAGCACCGGCUAACUCCGUGCCAGCAGCCGCGGUAAUACGGAGGGUGCGAGCGUUAAUCGGAAUUACUGGGCGUAAAGCGCAUGCAGGCGGCCUGUUAAGUCAGAUGUGAAAGCCCGGGGCUUAACCUCGGAAUUGCAUUUGAAACUGGCAGGCUAGAGUCUUGUAGAGGGGGGUAGGAAUUUCAGGUGUAGCGGUGAAAUGCGUAGAGAUCUGAAGGAAUACCAGUGGCGAAGGCGGCCCCCUGGACAAAGACUGACGCUCAGAUGCGAAAGCGUGGGGAGCAAACAGGAUUAGAUACCCUGGUAG